RNAcentral lists this ribosomal RNA (253 nucleotides) under uncultured bacterium. Its description in RNAcentral is "partial 16S ribosomal RNA". It matches the Rfam family "Bacterial small subunit ribosomal RNA", at positions 524 to 776 of the family's 1533-position model. The record is from RNAcentral.
UACGUAGGGUGCGAGCGUUAAUCGGAAUUACUGGGCGUAAAGUGUGCGCAGGCGGCGUUGCAAGUCGAGUGUGAAAUCCCCGAGCUUAACUUGGGAAUUGCGCUCGAAACUACGAUGCUCGAGUGUGGCAGAGGAAGGUGGAAUUCCACGUGUAGCGGUGAAAUGCGUAGAUAUCAGGAGGAACACCUGUGGCGAAAGCGGCGCACUGGACCACAACUGACGCUGAGGCGCGAAAGCUAGGGGAGCAAACAGG